This 1471-nucleotide ribosomal RNA is filed under the name metagenome. Its description in RNAcentral is "bacterial SSU rRNA". It matches the Rfam family "Bacterial small subunit ribosomal RNA". The record is from RNAcentral.
AGAGUUUGAUCCUGGCUCAGGACGAACGCUGGCGGCGUGCCUAACACAUGCAAGUCGAGCGGGACGGGGGCAACCCCGUUCAGCGGCGGACGGGUGAGUAACGCGUGAAGAAUCUGUCCCAGGCAGGGGGAUAACAGAUGGAAACAUCUGCUAAUACCGCAUAAGACCACGAGACCGCAUGGUCUUGAGGUCAAAGGAGCAAUCCGGGCUGGGGUGACUUCGCGUCUGAUUAGCUAGUUGGUGGGGUAACGGCCCACCAAGGCGACGAUCAGUAGCCGACCUGAGAGGGUGAUCGGCCACACUGGAACUGAGAGACGGUCCAGACUCCUACGGGAGGCAGCAGUGGGAAUAUUGGGCAAUGGGCGAAAGCCUGACCCAGCAACGCCGCGUGAGGGAAGAAGGUUUUCGGAUUGUAAACCUCUGUCCUCAGGGAAGAAAGAAAUGACGGUACCUGAGGAGGAAGCCCCGGCUAACUACGUGCCAGCAGCCGCGGUAAUACGUAGGGGGCGAGCGUUGUCCGGAAUGACUGGGCGUAAAGGGCGCGUAGGCGGCCGUACAAGUCUCACGUGAAAGUCCUGCUUUCAAGGUGGGAAUUGCGUGGGAAACUGUAUGGCUUGAGUGCGGAAGAGGCAAGUGGAAUUCCCAGUGUAGCGGUGAAAUGCGUAGAGAUUGGGAGGAACACCAGUGGCGAAGGCGACUUGCUGGGCCGUAACUGACGCUGAGGCGCGAAAGCGUGGGGAGCGAACAGGAUUAGAUACCCUGGUAGUCCACGCGGUAACCGAUGAGUGCUAGGUGUAGGGGGUAUCGACCCCUCCUGUGCCGCAGUAAACACAAUAAGCACUCCGCCUGGGGAGUACGGCCGCAAGGUUGAAACUCAAAGGAAUUGACGGGGGCCCGCACAAGCAGCGGAGCAUGUGGUUUAAUUCGACGCAACGCGAAGAACCUUACCAGGUCUUGACAUCGAUCUAAUCUCCUAGAGAUAGGAGGUCCCUUCGGGGGAGAGAAGACAGGUGGUGCAUGGUUGUCGUCAGCUCGUGUCGUGAGAUGUUGGGUUAAGUCCCGCAACGAGCGCAACCCUUAUGAUCAGUUACUAACGGGUAAAGCCGAGGACUCUGAUGAGACUGCCGGGGACAACUCGGAGGAAGGUGGGGACGACGUCAAAUCAUCAUGCCCCUUAUGACCUGGGCUACACACGUGCUACAAUGGCGUUAACAAAGAGGCGCGAACCCGCAAGGGGGAGCGGAUCUCAAAAAAGACGUCUCAGUUCAGAUUGUGGGCUGCAACCCGCCCACAUGAAGUCGGAGUUGCUAGUAAUCGCGGAUCAGCAUGCCGCGGUGAAUACGUUCCCGGGCCUUGUACACACCGCCCGUCACACCAUGGGAGUUGGGAGCACCCGAAGUCGGUGAGGCAACCGCAAGGGGCCAGCCGCCGAAGGUGAGACCGAUGACUGGGGUGAAGUCGUAACAAGGUA